AUACGGAGGGUGCAAGCGUUAUCCGGAUUUAUUGGGUUUAAAGGGUGCGUAGGCGGAAUAAUAAGUCAGCGGUGAAAUCCUGCAGCUUAACUGUAGAACUGCCAUUGAUACUGUUAUUCUUGAGUAUAGUUGAGGUGGGCGGAAUGUAUAAUGUAGCGGUGAAAUGCUUAGAUAUUAUACAGAACACCUAUUGCGAAGGCAGCUCACUAAACUAUAACUGACGCUGAUGCACGAAAGCGUGGGGAGCGAACAGGAUUAGAAACCCGAGUAGUCC
RNAcentral lists this ribosomal RNA (274 nucleotides) under uncultured bacterium. Its description in RNAcentral is "partial 16S ribosomal RNA". It matches the Rfam family "Bacterial small subunit ribosomal RNA", at positions 523 to 796 of the family's 1533-position model. The record is from RNAcentral.